UAUAUUCGCAUUCUUUCUACAUGCUGCAAAACGUGACAGUCGUAAUAAAUCCAAAGUACACCUCUGUUUGUGUUUGGAGAGCACAUAUUGUUUGUUUUUCAAUAGCAUACCGUAUUUCAUGUGCUCAGUCUACCCAAAAAUACAAGGUGAUUUAUGGUCUGUGAUUUGUCAUGUGGAGCACAUUCGUUGUUUUUAUUGUGGUAGGUGGUUGCAUUUUAUAGAGCAAGAUAGUACGAAUACUGAACAGAACUGUUGUUGGUCUUCGGUUUACUGUGUUUCGUUUUGUUUGUUUUAUACAAUGGACGGAGAAUUUAAAAACGAUUCAGAAAAUAUAAUUCCUUCAUCUGAAGAAGGUGCAGAACUGACAGGAUGUGCUGCCAAGCCUUGCUGCAACCCAAGUCUUGCGAUGCAUCGGUGUAUGGCCCUGUUAUUUAUAUGCCUGCCAGGGUUUGGUGAAUACGUGUGAGACAAGUAAUCAAAUCUUUCUCCACUCAGUUCAAAUUAUG
Molecule: non-coding RNA, 506 nt
Organism: Zootermopsis nevadensis
Lineage: Eukaryota; Metazoa; Arthropoda; Insecta; Blattodea; Termopsidae
Source: RefSeq, a predicted model, not a curated record